GCCACGGUGGUCUAGCGCUUAGAACGCUGGCCUUGUAAUCCUGGGGUCUCGGGUUCGAUUCCCGGCGGUGCCC
Non-coding RNA from Zootermopsis nevadensis, 73 nucleotides. Lineage: Eukaryota; Metazoa; Arthropoda; Insecta; Blattodea; Termopsidae. The record is from Rfam.